GGGUGAGUAACGCGUAUCCAACCUGCCCACCACUGGGGGAUAACCUUGCGAAAGUAAGACUAAUACCCAAUGAUAUCUCUAGAAGACAUCUGAAAGAGAUUAAAGAUUUAUCGGUGAUGGAUGGGGAUGCGUCUGAUUAGCUUGUUGGCGGGGUAACGGCCCACCAAGGCAACGAUCAGUAGGGGUUCUGAGAGGAAGGUCCCCCACAUUGGAACUGAGACACGGUCCAAACUCCUACGGGAGGCAGCAGUGAGGAAUAUUGGUCAAUGGACGAGAGUCUGAACCAGCCAAGUAGCGUGCAGGAAGACGGCCCUAUGGGUUGUAAACUGCUUUUAUAAGGGAAUAAAGUUAGUCUCGUGAGACUUUUUGCAUGUACCUUAUGAAUAAGGACCGGCUAAUUCCGUGCCAGCAGCCGCGGUAAUACGGAAGGUCCGGGCGUUAUCCGGAUUUAUUGGGUUUAAAGGGAGCGUAGGCCGGAGAUUAAGCGUGUUGUGAAAUGUAGACGCUCAACGUCUGCACUGCAGCGCGAACUGGUUUCCUUGGGUACGCACAAAGUGGGCGGAAUUCGUGGUGUAGCGGUGAAAUGCUUAGAUAUCACGAAGAACUCCGAUUGCGAAGGCAGCUCACUGGAGCGCAACUGACGCUGAGGCUCGAAAGUGCGGGUAUCGAACAGGAUUAGAUACCCUGGUAGUCCGCACGGUAAACGAUGGAUGCCCGCUGUUGGUCUGAAUAGGUCAGCGGCCAAG
Molecule: ribosomal RNA, 746 nt
Filed under: uncultured bacterium
Lineage: Bacteria
Description: bacterial SSU rRNA
Rfam family: Bacterial small subunit ribosomal RNA
Source: RNAcentral